CAGCCGCCACGGUAAUACGUAGGGUGCAAGCGUUAAUCGGAAUUACUGGGCGUAAAGCGUGCGCAGGCGGUUUUGUAAGACAGAGGUGAAAUCCCCGGGCUCAACCUGGGAACUGCCUUUGUGACUGCAAGGCUAGAGUACGGCAGAGGGGGAUGGAAUUCCGCGUGUAGCAGUGAAAUGCGUAGAUAUGCGGAGGAACACCGAUGGCGAAUGCAAUCCCCUGGGCCUGUACUGACGCUCAUGCACGAAAGCGUGGGGAGCAAACAGGAUUAGAUACCCCGGUAGUCCCUGUCUCUUAUAC
Molecule: ribosomal RNA, 301 nt
Filed under: uncultured bacterium
Lineage: Bacteria
Description: partial 16S ribosomal RNA
Rfam family: Bacterial small subunit ribosomal RNA
Source: RNAcentral